UGUUUAGGAGUGAAAAGCUAACCGAACCUGGAGAUAGCUAGUUCUCCCCGAAAUGUAUUGAGGUACAGCCUCGGAUGUUGACCCUGUCCUGUAGAGCACUGACAAGGCUCGGGGGCCUACCAGCCUACCAACCCUUAUCAAACUCCGAAGGGGCAGGUGUUUAAAUCCGGGAGUGAGGCUGCGAGAGCUAACUUCCGUAGCCAAGAGGGAAACAACCCAGACCGCCAGCUA
Molecule: ribosomal RNA, 231 nt
Filed under: Ditylum brightwellii
Lineage: Eukaryota; Bacillariophyta; Thalassiosirophyceae; Lithodesmiales; Lithodesmiaceae
Description: partial Bacterial large subunit ribosomal RNA
Rfam family: Bacterial large subunit ribosomal RNA
Source: RNAcentral